AUAUAUAUAUACAUAUAGUGAUUUUUUUAUUUAAUAAUAAUAUUAAAAAUAUUUUUAUGUUUUCAUAUGUAUAUAUAUGUAUAUAUAAUUGCAAGGGUCAUGACAAGAAACAUGAUACCAAAUUGCUUGGUAUCAUAUUAUAUGGUUAUGAUAAUUUGUAUUCAUGUUCUUAAAAUAUAUGUAUACUUUACUUUAUUUACU
This 201-nucleotide long non-coding RNA is filed under the name Physcomitrium patens. RNAcentral describes it as "long non-coding RNA (PPAT_LNC011402)". The record is from RNAcentral. Lineage: Eukaryota; Viridiplantae; Streptophyta; Bryopsida; Funariales; Funariaceae.